UCUUUGCAACAAGUUUUGCAAAAGUUGCAUUUGAGUUCAUCAUGUAUUUUCUCCACAACAGUAAGAAGGUGAUUGUGACCAGGAUAUUCUAUUCGGGGCUUUAGUAAAGCACACUCAACAUCCAGCUGGAAAUCGCAUUUGUUACAGCGAAAGGCAAAGUCACAACAGUCCCUGAGACAUAAGGACAUAAGCGGCACCUUGCCUUUCUUGAUUUUUCACUCGUUACUCGUCUUUCCUUUGAAUUUAGAGAAGCCAAGGUGAGAGAGUGAGACAAAUGAGAGUUUCUGAUAGUU
RNAcentral lists this unclassified non-coding RNA (293 nucleotides) under Hevea brasiliensis (rubber tree). Lineage: Eukaryota; Viridiplantae; Streptophyta; Magnoliopsida; Malpighiales; Euphorbiaceae. The record is from RNAcentral.